AGUGAACGCUGGCGGUAGGCCUAACACAUGCAAGUCGAACGGCAGCACAGUAAGAGCUUGCUCUUACGGGUGGCGAGUGGCGGACGGGUGAGGAAUACAUCGGAAUCUACUUUUUCGUGGGGGAUAACGUAGGGAAACUUACGCUAAUACCGCAUACGACCUACGGGUGAAAGCAGGGGAUCUUCGGACCUUGCGCGAUUGAAUGAGCCGAUGUCGGAUUAGCUAGUUGGCGGGGUAAAGGCCCACCAAGGCGACGAUCCGUAGCUGGUCUGAGAGGAUGAUCAGCCACACUGGAACUGAGGCACGAUCCAGACUCCUACGGGAGGCAGAAGUGGGGAAUAUUGGACAAUGGGCGCAAGCCUGAUCCAGCCAUACCGCGUGGGUGAAGAAGGCCUUCGGGUUGUAAAGCCCUUUUGUUGGGAAAGAAAAGCAGCAGGUUAAUACCCCGCUGUUCUGACGGUACCCAAAGAAUAAGCACCGGCUAACUUCGUG
Molecule: ribosomal RNA, 492 nt
Filed under: uncultured bacterium
Lineage: Bacteria
Description: partial 16S ribosomal RNA
Rfam family: Bacterial small subunit ribosomal RNA
Source: RNAcentral